AUGCGCCUUGCCAGCCCGCUCAGAAUUAAAUGAAUGACGGGCCCCGCACAAGCAGCGGAGCGUGUGGUUUAAUUCGAUGCUACACGAAGAACCUUACCAGGGUUUGACAUACAAGUAGUAGGGAAAGGAAACUGGACCGACCCUUCGGGGAGCUUGAACAGGUGCUGCAUGGCUGUCGUCAGCUCGUGUCGUGAGAUGUUCGGUUAAGUCCGCUAACGAGCGCAACCCUCGCUGUGUGUUACAAGUGUCACACGGAACUGCCGGUCAUAAACCGGAGGAAGGUGGGGAUGACGUCAAGUCAGCAUGGCCUUUAUAUCCUGGGCUACACACACGCUACAAUGGGAAGGGACAAUAGGUUGCGAAACCGCGAGGUGGAGCCAAUCCAGCAAAACUUCCCUCAGUUCAGAUUGCAGGCUGCAACUCGCCUGCAUGAAGUUGGAGUUGCUAGUAAACGCAGGUCAGCCAUACUGCGUUGAAUACGUUCCCGGGGCUU
RNAcentral lists this ribosomal RNA (493 nucleotides) under uncultured Levilinea sp. RNAcentral's name for it is "bacterial SSU rRNA". It matches the Rfam family "Bacterial small subunit ribosomal RNA", at positions 903 to 1382 of the family's 1533-position model. The record is from RNAcentral. Lineage: Bacteria; Bacillati; Chloroflexota; Anaerolineae; Anaerolineales; Anaerolineaceae.